CCCACAGUGGGGCCAUGCUGAGAAUUAACACUACUAUCACUCUGGUGCCCAGGAGGUGAAGUGAAGUCAAGUUCUGAGAAAGGAAACCAUUAUAAGCCACUUGCCUCAUUUGAACCCUCUGCGUGGUCAUCAAGGAAGGUGGAGUCUCAUCCCCUAACAGUCAUCUUGUUCCAUCAAUUACUGAGGAAGGAGUGUUAAAAUCUUCAGUUUUGA
This is a long non-coding RNA of Balaenoptera musculus (blue whale), 213 nucleotides long. RefSeq lists it as uncharacterized. The record is from RefSeq and is a predicted model, not a curated record. The transcript is spliced from 2 exons. NCBI's taxonomy places the organism in Eukaryota, Metazoa, Chordata, Mammalia, Artiodactyla, Balaenopteridae.